UUUGUUAAAACGCUUAAUCUCUCGUCGUGUUCGUUCCACAGCAAUGGCAGAAACUCAGUGCACAGAAACUACAAAACUAGAUCUUGAUUCCGGGAAUCUACUUCAGAAUCCGAGCAAAGCAUCUCUAGAUCCGAUCAGAUCCGCUCCGUUUCUCUCCUCCUUCAACUCAGUGGAAUGCAUUGCUAGAAUCUAGAGAGAACACGCCGGAGAAAAACAAACCAUGAGAAUGUCAUCGGCUUCUGCCGCCGUUUCGCUCGGAAGCAGCGGUCAAAGAGACGCUGAGUCCCUCCUCCGCACCAAACCGAUGUCGGAGAUCCGUAGCGUUGAGUCGGCGACUAGGAAGAACAUCGAGGACAAGAAGGAGGAGCUCCGGCAACUCGUCGGGACUCGGUACCGAGAUCUAAUCGACUCGGCUGACUCGAUCGUUCACAUGAAGUCGCUCUGCGAGUCGAUCUCGGCGAACAUCAGCUCGAUCCACGGCAACAUUCGAUCGCUCUCCUCCUCGUCGGAAGCGAAAACCCCGCGCUCGCUAUCACUGACCGGCCCGAGUCAAUGUGUAUGGGAUCGCGUGUCGGGUCAAGUAUCUGGUGGAUACCGGAGAGAAUAUAUGGGGCUGCCUCGACGAGUCCAUGUUUCUAGAAGCUGCUGGGAGGUACAUGCGUGCUCAGCACGUGCAGCAGAGACUGUUAAGUUGGAGGAGGUGGAUCAGAGUAAACUGUUGGCUAAUUUCCGUUGCUUGAGCAUCAGUGGCAGAUAGUGGAGGGCUUCAAGGCUCAGAUUUCUCAGAGGAGCCACGAACGGCUUCUUGAUCCGGGUUUGGGGUUGGGGGAUUACGCGUGGACGCGUUAACUGCUGUAGCAGUGGUUGAUGAGCUUGAUCCGAAGGAGGUUCUUGAGUUGUUUCUCGACUCGAGGAAGACUUGGGUUCUGCCAAAAGUUGAAUGCUUGUAGUGGUGAUGAUGCUGGGAGUGUGUUUCGGUGUUUGUGAUGUGUUGAGUGUGGUUCAGGUUACUGUGGGACAAGUUGGUGAGCUUUUUUUGCAAGCGUUGACUGAUAUGCCUCUGUUUUAUAAGACGAUUUUGAGUACACCUCCGGCUUCUCAGCUGUUUGGUGGGAUUCCGAAUCCGAAAGAGGAGGUUGCGUUGUGGAAAUUGUUUAGAGAUAAUUUGGAAUCUGUUAUGGUUAUUUUUGAGAAAGUUGAUAUUUCUAAGGCGUGUCUGGCAUGGUUGAGGGAAUGCGGUGGACAUAUUGUUGGUAAGGUUAGUGGGAAGCGUUUGAUUGAAGCUAUUGUUACUGGUGCAGAGCUUGGAUCAGCGGAAAAGUUGAUAAGGGAGACCAUGGAUAGUAAAGAGGUAUUGAGUGGUAGUUUAGAUUGGCUUAAAAGUGUUUUUGGGUCUGAGAUAGAGCUACCUUGGAAUAGAAUCCGGGAGCUUGUUCUGGACGACGAUUUGAACCUGUGGGAUGAAAUAUUUGAGGAGGCCUUUGUGGAAAGAAUGAAAUGCAUUAUUGACUCUAGAUUUGAGGAAUUGGCUAAAGCUGUCAAUGUGGCAGAGUCGGUUCGUGCUUUUAGCGAGAUCACUGAUGAGAAGAUCAACUUCCAAGCAUACUUAAACAGACCUUCUACAGGUGGUGGUGUCUGGUUCAUCGAGCCUAACGCUAGGAAACCUGGUUUUAUUGCCGGAAACAAAACGUCACCUGAAGAAAGCGACUUCCAAAGUUGUCUAACGGCGUACUUUGGUCCUGAAGUUAGCCAAAUCAGAGAUGCAGUUGAUCACCGCUGCCAGAAUGUUUUAGAAGACCUCCUAAGCUUCUUUGAUUCAGAAAAGGCAGGUCCGAGGUUAAAGGAUCUUGCUCCAUACGUGCAGAAUAAAUGUUAUGACAGUGUCUCAGCAAUUCUCGCAGAUGUGGAUAAGGAACUCGAAUCUCUCUGUGCUGCCAUGAAGAAAGGGAACAACGACAGCGAAGCAAUUCCACCUGCUAUAAUAAUUGAGAAAUCUCUUUUUAUGGGACGCCUCUUGUUUGCAUUGCUGAACCACUCGAAACACGUUCCCUUGAUUCUCGGUUCUCCAAGAUUGUGGUGUAGAGAAACUAUGAAUGCAGUUUCUGAUAAGUUGUCAUCCUUGUUGAGGCAACCAAGAUUUGGCUCGAAUACUCCAGGUGCUGCUGACAGCCCGGGAAAGCAGUUGCAUGCCGAUCUUAGGAAGCAGAGUUCGUUAGCUGUUGCCGCGCUACUUAAGGCAGAUGAGAAGACAAGUCCGAAAUUUGAAGAGCUUAAUAAAACUAUGCGUGAUCUGUGCAUUAAGGCUCAUACAUUGUGGAUACAGUGGUUAUCGGAAGAGCUCUCCGCUAUUUUCUUGCGUGAUCUUACGAUUGACGAUGGACUGUCUGCUACAACUCCUUUAAGGGGGUGGGAAGAGACAAUAGUCAAGGAAGAGCAGGGCGAGAGUGAGUUGAAGAUAUCACUUCCGUCCUUGCCUUCGCUCUAUAUAAUUUCAUUUCUUUGUCGAGCAUCAGAAGAGAUCCAUCGAAUUGGAGGCCAUGUACUGGAUAAGUCAAUUUUGCAAAAGUUUGCUUCAAGCCUGUUGGAGAAGAUCAUCAUUAUUUAUGAGGAUUUCUUAUCUGCCAGGGAGGCCAACGAACCCCAAAUUUCAGAGAAGGGGGUUUUACAAAUUUUACUGGAUUUGAGAUUUGCAUCGGACAUUCUUUCUGGGGGUGAUACAAGCACCAAUGUGGAGAUACAACCAAAGAUCACAAUGAACAGAUCAGCUUUCAGGCGAAAGCAGGGCCAACAGCAAACAAAGUCAGUCAACAGAGGUCGCAUUGAUGGAGUAAUCUCCCAACUGACCCAAAAGUUGGAUCCUAUAGACUGGCUCACGUACGAGCCUUAUCUUUGGGAGAACGAAAAGCAGUCAUACCUACGCCACGCAGUACUAUUUGGAUUCUUUGUGCAACUAAACCGAAUGUACACAGAUACUUCCCAGAAACUACCAAGUAACUCAGAGUCAAAUAUCAUGCCAUGCUCCACAGUUCCCCGCUUCAAAUACCUUCCCAUAAGCGCUCCGGCUCUGUCCUCUAGAAGUACAAAUAAGGUCUCCACUCCAGUUACAUCAAAUGAAAGUUCGUCAAGAAACUCAUGGAAUGCAUUUACAAAUGGCGAGCUUUCUCAAACAAGUGAUUUGGAAGAUGACUCCAGUUUCGGCGUGGCUUCCCCGUUCUUAAAGUCUUUCAUGCAGGCUGGUAGUAGAUUUGGGUCAAUACUAAGUGACGGACAAGUUGGAAUAUUCAAGGAUAGAUCAGCAGCCGCUAUGUCGACAUUUGGGGAUAUAAUACCAUCUCAAGCAGCCGGUUUACUCUCUUCUUUCACAACCACCAGGUACGAGUGAUGAUAUGACGAUCUUCGGUUUUGUGAGUCUAAACCGAUGAUGAUUGCAGCAGUUGAGAUAUCUGCCAUUAUAGAAGUUUUUACAUUAAAGAAGAGAACAAGUUUUGUAACUCUGUUUGAUUUAUUGUUUCAUGUAAUUAAGAGAUUUGGUUCUACAAAAAUCCUCAGACUGAAUACAAUCAAACCCUCAUACAUAUAAAGUUUUAAUAUCAUUGCAAAAAAAACUGAUUAAGGUA
RNA transcript from Brassica rapa (field mustard), 3617 nucleotides. It is a transcript of the gene named conserved oligomeric Golgi complex subunit 1-like, with no coding region annotated. The record is from RefSeq and is a predicted model, not a curated record. NCBI's taxonomy places the organism in Eukaryota, Viridiplantae, Streptophyta, Magnoliopsida, Brassicales, Brassicaceae.